GACGAACGCUGGCGGCGUGCUUAACACAUGCAAGUCGAACGGAAAGGCCCUGCUUUUGUGGUGUGCUCGAGUGGCGAAAGGGUGAGUAACACGUGAGUAACCUGCCCUUGACUUUGGGAUAACUUCAGGAAACUGGAGCUAAUACCGGAUAUGAGCUCCUGCUGCAUGGUGGGGGUUGGAAAGUUUCGGCGGUUGGGGAUGGACUCGCGGCUUAUCAGCUUGUUGGUGGGGUAGUGGCUUACCAAGGCUUUGACGGGUAGCCGGCCUGAGAGGGUGACCGGCCACAUUGGGACUGAGAUACGGCCCAGACUCCUACGGGAGGCAGCAGUGGGGAAUAUUGCACAAUGGGCGGAAGCCUGAUGCAGCAACGCCGCGUGCGGGAUGACGGCCUUCGGGUUGUAAACCGCUUUCGCCUGUGACGAAGCGUGAGUGACGGUAAUGGGUAAAGAAGCACCGGCUAACUACGUG
This 468-nucleotide ribosomal RNA is filed under the name uncultured bacterium. RNAcentral describes it as "partial 16S ribosomal RNA". It matches the Rfam family "Bacterial small subunit ribosomal RNA", at positions 28 to 507 of the family's 1533-position model. The record is from RNAcentral.